RNAcentral lists this ribosomal RNA (119 nucleotides) under Pteropus alecto (black flying fox). The record is from RNAcentral. Lineage: Eukaryota; Metazoa; Chordata; Mammalia; Chiroptera; Pteropodidae.
AUUUAUGGCCAUGCCACCCUGAACACGCCCGAUCCCGUCUGAUCUCGGAAGCUAAGCGGGAUCCGGCCUGGUUAGUACUUGGAUAGGAGACCACCUAGGGAGACCAGGUGCUGUAGGCA